This 391-nucleotide ribosomal RNA is filed under the name uncultured bacterium. Its description in RNAcentral is "bacterial SSU rRNA". It matches the Rfam family "Bacterial small subunit ribosomal RNA", at positions 505 to 898 of the family's 1533-position model. The record is from RNAcentral.
GUGUCAGCCGCCGCGGUAAUACGGAGGGUGCAAGCGUUAUCCGGAUUCACUGGGUUUAAAGGGUGUGUAGGCGGAUAUUUAAGUCCGAGGUGAAAUCUCUGAGCUCAACUCAGAAACUGCCUUGGAUACUAUUUAUCUUGAAUAUCGUUGAGGUAGGCGGAAUAUGUCAUGUAGCGGUGAAAUGCUUAGAUAUGACAUAGAACACCGAUUGCGAAGGCAGCUUGCUAAACGAUUAUUGACGCUGAGGCACGAAAGCGUGGGGAUCAAACAGGAUUAGAUACCCUGGUAGUCCACGCCCUAAACGAUGAUUACUCGACAUCAGCGAUACACUGUUGGUGUCUGAGCGAAAGCAUUAAGUAAUCCACCUGGGAAGUACGACCGCAAGGUUGAA